Panicum hallii is the source of this 1412-nucleotide long non-coding RNA. RefSeq lists it as uncharacterized. The transcript is spliced from 4 exons. The record is from RefSeq and is a predicted model, not a curated record. NCBI's taxonomy places the organism in Eukaryota, Viridiplantae, Streptophyta, Magnoliopsida, Poales, Poaceae.
GUUCGUCAGAACAACAGAGAAGCUCUGAGCACUGAACACCCAGCAUUGUUGUUUUCCAGUGAGUAACCUUUCUAUUGGUUUCUCUAACAGCAUUUUCUUUAUGAGAACUGAUUGAACAAUAUUAGCGUACAUGUCAGGGAAGUUUGCAUCGCAUAUGACUUGUGGUUCAUGUAAAUUCUGCCAGUGAGUAUGUAACUCUGGAGGGAAAAUUUUACUCAAUUUCAAACCAGAUCCUCAUACAGCAGAGCUAUUACUUCCAGGCUGGGUACUACAAAGAUCAAUAAAACCAAAUAAGUAUCGCGUACCUGCUGUGGAACUCAUCUCUAUUGAGCAGCAGGAGGACCUGGUGCACAGGGUGAGCCUGCCAAAUCCAUGCAGCUAUGCACAUGGCUUCAGGGAGAAGGUUGGAAGGAGAGCGAAAGCACAAGGAGCCCACAGAGUCUCUGCAUUAUUGGCUGCAACCAGGUGCUCUGCAGUCUGUCAUUCUUCUGUCAGAGUUCUAUCCUGUUCAGUUACCUGGUCUAUUACUUCCCAUGUGAGGCCACGGGAACUGGAACUGGAACUCAUCCAUCCAUAUCUCAACGAAACCAGGGGCGUGCUGGAUUAGGUUAAACAAAAGCGGCAAACAACGACCUGAUCUUUCGAAGCAAUAGAUGACCCCUGUUUCCGUGUAUGAUCAAAAGGCCAGUACUGAAUCCAUCAAUCCGUUUCCCGUGGGUGGUUGGCUGCGGUGGCUCACACGUGUCGAGCUUCAGGAAUAGCAUGCCUGCACGGCGGUUUGCAGGCACUCGUCAUCUACUCUAUCCGUUUCCAGGGGUCCCUGGUCCUGCGUUUGGUGAGUGCUAAGGACGGCCGAUUUGGGUAAGUUGGUUAUUUGGUUUAGCUGGAGAACAGUCGCCUGGCUCUUGGUGGUUAGAUUUAUAUUCUAGGGUUCAUUUCAUGUAGUGGCUACCUGUCCAUCAUUUAUCAUAUAUAUGUCUCGGUACGUAAAAGGACCUUAGUAGGCUUGUAGGAGCGAGGGUUCUAAUAAGUUAUGUCAGAAAUUAGCAGCAACUUAAUUUGGUGGUUUCGUGGCUUUUAGAAUGAACCUUGGAUCUCCUUCUCACAAGUAAGGGUGGAAUGGAAGUAGCUAAAACAUUUAUUGUGGGCCAGCAAAAUUAGAAGGGCAAUAACACAAGUGCUCAUAGGUUGGGGGUCACUGCAACCUACCAUGUCGGCACCCAAUUACUACUCUUCUUGUCAGCAUUGCCCGAUGAUGCACGCUACCGCUUUGCCAAUAACCCAAGCAUUACUUGCCAACUAGCCAUGUACCUUGUGGCAUGGCUACCAUAAUGGUUGCGUUGCGUUGUGUCUCUUAUGUAAAUAAAUAAAUAUAUAUUAUUCUCUACUGCGUAGUUAGUCUGGUGUACGUG